CCCGUUUCCUGGAAGUGAUGGAGC
Molecule: microRNA, 24 nt
Filed under: Gallus gallus (chicken)
Lineage: Eukaryota; Metazoa; Chordata; Aves; Galliformes; Phasianidae
Description: gga-miR-7450-3p
Source: miRBase by way of RNAcentral